GUCGUGUGCUGGCCUCUGCUAAUGGGGAAGACCGGGAAGCAGCAGCCAGAGGCCUUCCCGGGAUCCACGCCUGCUAGCUCACUUCUGGGGCAGGUGGAAACGGAAGCUCAAAGCCACUUCUCCUUGACUUUAGAAAUGCUGGAGGAUUUGCUUCCGGUGAGCCCUGAGGAAUGAGGAGUGGCCAGCCUGGCUGACCUGGGCAAGACAGCUUUGGAAAGGCUGGGUCUGAACGCUCUAGAACACUCAGACCCCCACUCCCCAGGGUCCCUGCUGGCCUUGGUCAGUGAUACAUGGCACAAACUGGAGGGACACUGCCUGGUUCAAGUCCCAGCUCCAACUCUGGCAAGCUGUGUGACCUUAGGUAAGUUACUGAACUUCUCUGUGCUUCAAUUUUUUCAUUUGUCAAAUGGGAUGGUGAUAUCAGAGCUAGCCCCCGCCCUGACCUCCACCCUCAGGAAGAUUAACAAGACAGUGCCUGCCUAACACACGGGAGAAGGCCCAGCACAGAGGGGAUGCUCAGAAGGGUU
RNAcentral lists this long non-coding RNA (527 nucleotides) under Ursus maritimus (polar bear). Its description in RNAcentral is "lncRNA (ENSUMAG00000019875.1)". Lineage: Eukaryota; Metazoa; Chordata; Mammalia; Carnivora; Ursidae. The record is from RNAcentral.